Molecule: ribosomal RNA, 254 nt
Filed under: uncultured bacterium
Lineage: Bacteria
Description: partial 16S ribosomal RNA
Rfam family: Bacterial small subunit ribosomal RNA
Source: RNAcentral
GACAGAGGUGCCGAGCGUUAGGCGGAAUCACUGGGCUUAAAGCGUGUGUAGGCGGGCGGGCAAGUACCUUGUGAAAUCCCACGGCUCAACCGUGGAACGGCUGGGUAUACUGCCUGUCUUGAGCCAACUAGGGGCGAGCGGAACAGACGGUGGAGCGGUGAAAUGCGUAGAUAUCGUCUGGAACGCCGGAAGGUGAAAACAGCUCGCUGGGGUUGUGCUGACGCUGAGACACGAAAGCCAGGGGAGCGAACGGG